GAUUGCAGCUGGGUUUGGUCAAGUUCCCUGCACCUUCACUGGAUUGACUUUAACAAACGCAACCAAACUCCCCUCUGCAAAGCACUCCGUGAUGAGUGACUAAACCCAGCUGCGGGGUUCACCCUUGCAGAUUGCGCAUAGACCUAGACCCCAGAGCAGCCUCCUGCUCAUCAUCACAAAAAAAAAAAAAGAAAAAGAAAAGAAAAGAAACAAACUAGAUCAAGGAUGCAGGUUGCAAGCCUUGCACUUUGUCCUCACCCAUCACAAGGACGUGUCUGAGAGUCAGCUGCGCAUCAGAGAGAGAUUAACAGUGGAGGGUAACCGGGGACCCAAGACUUUGCUGCUGAGCCGGCCGCAAUUAAAUUCUGCUGUCUGUGUGGACGCUGUCUCCUUAAGCCCACCCCUGCUGCUCCUGGAUUUAGGUCAGGAUCACAGAUCUGAUGGACAGUUCCUGGCACUCAAGCACUGGGCGAUCUCUCCCCCUCUUGCGGGGCUGUUACGGCCACGGUGUCUUCGGCCACGUUCCUUCUUCCUGCAAUGACCCGUCUGCAGCGCACCCUAGUCCUUGCCCAGCAGGGGGUGCUGUCAGCUGCCCCCUCCUGCUGCUCUGCCAAGGCGCUCGCUGGCCAUGCUUCCUCGCCCGUGUUGCUGUGAAGAUCCUCCGCUGGUGGUGGAGCUCUGUUGACUUCAGUGGAGCUAUGCCCAUUGCACGAGCGGAGAGUCUGGCCCAACGAUUUUGCCCCAGGUGGCACAAGCAGUGCCCAGGGUGGCCGUCAGGUGCAGAGAGGCAUGAUGCUCUCCUUUUCCUUUCUUAGUACAAAACCUGGGGGGAUGGCAUGCCAGCCCACACCAGCUGAUACCCACACAGUCAUAUAGGGUGAGGGGCAGUUGGGCUAGUUUUCUAUUCAACUAAGGGCAUAGCUCCCCUCUUCCACCUCCAUCAGGGGAUCUUGCAAGAAUUAAUAGUCAGUCUCACAAUCCCCACCCCCAACAAACACCCUGACCUUUAUUUUACAGAGGGGGAAACUGAGGCACAGAGUGGGGAAAUGGACCCUCCCAUGUCCUACCUUGACAGCUGGGACAAUCCUUGCUUAUGUACAAGCAAAAUCUCCAGAAUGAGCUAAAUGUGAUCCUGCCUUUCUAUGCAUGCAGGCUCUGCUGCUCUGAGGGCCGGCCUGCCUGUCUGAUCUGACUGCACUUCUAACGCCUGUCCCCGUGAGCUGUAGGGGACUGAUGGUUCCCUCAGUAGAGUGCUUGGGAGGCAGAGCAGUUUGGUGGUUGAGAGACCAGACUAAGGCUUAUGCGAUCUGGGUUAUUAUUUAUUUGUAUGGACCAGGAUCCCACUGUGCCAGGAGCUGUCCAAACCUAGAACAAAAAGGCAGUCCCACAGUCUAAGGGUUCAGAUCCUGGUUCUCCCACUGCCUCCCGGCGUGAUCUCAGCAGGCCAUUCGAUCUCUCUGUGCCUCAGUUCCCAGCCCAUGAAAGGGGAUCAUGAGAGUUGCUUUCUGUCCCACUGGGGCUGCCCUGUCUCUUUGUGGGAGGGGCUGUCUCUUGCUCUGUCUGUGCAGUGCCUGGUGCAAUGAGGCUUGGGUGGGGUCUCUAGGCCCUACCUGAAUAUAAUAAUAAUAAAGGGUCAGGCCCAAAGCAGGGGACACAGGCAAAGAGCAGCUGGUCUCUGCUGGGGUUUCCCAACCAGGGAUGGCUGAGCCAAUUUGGAUCAAGAAAGGAGAAUCCCCUGACGCCCAACCUCCUCCAUUGCCCCAAACUCAGUCCCACCCUGGACCAUGCCUUCCCCCAGGGCUGAGAAGGUUUUCUAUUAGUGUCCAUUUCUGCAGCUGGUCCUGGCUAGGGGCAGGCUGGGGCAGGCAGUUCUAGCAGGGCGCAAGGCUGAGGAGGAGGUUGGGAAAACCUCCCGGGACUCCAUCCUGUGCGGUGCCCUCUGUUCCUAUGGACUCCACUGCACGCUGGGCUUGGCAUUUGCCUGGCACUCGAUUUUAACCCUCAAGCCAGGCUUGCCAUUGAAGGGUUGCCGGAUGACCUGUCACCUCAACCUAGCCCCUCUGCCCCUCUGAUCUGGAAUCAGGCUUUUCCCUCUGCGUCAGUUCAGGCUUUCGCUCCUCCACUGCUCCGAGGGCGUGAGGGAGGGCUGAAGGAGGAGGGUAGUCCCAGAGGCAGGGUGCAUUAUCGGGGUGGAGGGCAGCCCUGCUUGCUUGGAUCUUGCUGGCUUGGUGAGGCCAGACCCCUUGACUAAAGGCUUGUCUGGAGAUUUUUUCUACUGUUCUCCCAUAUCACUCUCCACAUGGACACUCUCCUUCCACUAGAAGACUGGCUUUUUCUUCAGUUUAGUUGAAACCACUUCCAAAGCAACAUGCACUAAAUCAGACCAUGGCCCUUUUGUUCCAGAAGGUGUGUGUCCACAUGGGGAGUCAUGCUGGUAUAACAAUUGCGGUGUAAAUUCAGAUCCUGCUUUCCUGUGUAGACAAACCCUUAGGGGCUUGUGGCUUAGUGUUUGUUCGCAUGGGCGUCUCUGCUCUCUGGAUCAUUAGCUAAACAGCAAUAAUGGCUCUGCAAAGACUAAUCUGGCUCUCUCCAAGCCACUACCGCCCAGCCUCAUCUCACUCAGCCAUGCUGGCUUUAAUUACACCUCAUGGAAGGAGUAGGUGCACACGUCCCCCGUGGCACAUUAAUGUGCAGCAGUGGAAUGGAAGCUGUCACAGGGAAUGUUAGGGGGAUAGAUUCACCUACCAAGCAGUGAGGCUGCCCCUCCUCCUGUCCUCUUCCCCUGAUCCUAUCCCUCAGACUAACCUACUCCCCUUUUUCUCCCAGCACCAAAUUCCCUAUCCCCUGCCACACCAUCUCCGGUUACCCUAUUUCCUUCUCCCUGGCUUUAGGAUUUUAGACAUUGGAAUUUCUGCAGCAAACAACUGGCCAAGUUAAUUGCAUUUCACAGAGAAGUCAAAGCUGGGGCAGGAAAUGGUAGAAAAUCAGGUUGCAAGAUUUUUUUCUGGGAAAAGUAAUUAUUCCCCACAUCAGCAAAACUCUAGGAACAAAUAGAUUUUUCUAAAUUUGCCAAUUUUUUUUUCAUCUUUGGCCAUCUAAUUUGCCAGCCCUAUUUUCAGUGGGUUUUCAGUUAGUUGUGUGGUGGUGUUGGGUGGUGGUGGUUUUUUUUUUUAAAUGUUCCCUGAGGACAGUGAAUGUGACAUGUGCUGACUAUCAUGUGCUGACUGUGUGCAAAUCAAACCCCUCUUGGGUUGGAGAAGCCUCUAGGUGAAUUUCAAGGUCAGAGCUAAAAAUAGAUUAAAAUAAAUGAAAAUCCUCUUUGCUGUGAGCAGAGGAAGGAAUAAGACUGAGGGCUGGCAGGGGGGCUUUUUGUCCAUGGAUCUCAAAGCUGGGGAGAUGGCAUUAUCACUGUUGUACAGAGGGGGACACAAAGAGUGGAGAAAGACUUGCCAAAGGUCAUGCAGAGCCCGGAAUAGAACCCAGCUGUUCUGAGUCCCAGUUGUGACCUGAGCUACUGGACCAUGAAAGGAGCUUGGGAAAGGGGAGGUUGAGAUGCUGGAUCUGGGUUCGCUGUUGCUUGCACCAAAUAUGAUGUGAGUUUGGUGGUCUCAGCUUAGUUCUUAGUGGGAGUUUGUCCACGUCCCUGAAACACCCCUGUAGAAUUUGGGACAAGUUGGGGUGCGCAGCAGUCUCUGUUCUAGAGGGAUCCAGGGUUGGAGCAGCAGGAUUGCUGCAGGUCAGGACUAAGGGACAUCAGUAAAGUGGAUGUGAGAAGCCCAGGGGCUGGAAAUCAGGAAUGUUGAUAGAGAAAGGGGUUUGGGGGCAGGGCUUUCAGAAGGUCUCUGUCCACCUUGCCUGC
Molecule: long non-coding RNA, 3859 nt
Organism: Dermochelys coriacea (leatherback sea turtle)
Lineage: Eukaryota; Metazoa; Chordata; Testudines; Dermochelyidae
Exons: 4
Source: RefSeq, a predicted model, not a curated record